Molecule: long non-coding RNA, 10305 nt
Filed under: Podarcis lilfordi (Lilford's wall lizard)
Lineage: Eukaryota; Metazoa; Chordata; Lepidosauria; Squamata; Lacertidae
Source: RNAcentral
AAAAACAUGAAGGGUGAAAUAUACUCAGAGUCGAGAGUGGAUUUCAUGCUCUUUAUUCAGCUCAUAGUGGUGAGGAGGGAAUGAAAGUCCCCUCAAAGUAUCUGCUUUAUAUACAUUAUUUACACAAUGGGCUGCACGUGAUUGGCUAAUUCCGGAAUUCUCCUGUAGACCAAUCAGGUUGUGGAUUCACUUCUAUCUGGAGCUGGAUUGGGUGGCUCCUGCCGACCAAUCAUAUUGCUGCAUUGUUCUAGGACCAAUCAGACUGCUGUAUUCUGAAUCCUAUUGUUCUAGGACCAAUCAGACUGCUGCAGUUUCGAUCCUAUUCAACUCAGUACAUAACAAAGGGGUAAGGCCAAUAGAAUAUACCAGCUCUAAUUUCUAAGUAAACACACAUCUGUUUGAAGGUUUAUUCAAGUGUGGGUCAAGAUGAAAUGGCGAGGGAGUCACCUUAAUAAUAAGAUGAAGAAAGGAGCAGUGUGAAAGGCACUUAUUUAUUUCCAGAAUGUAUUAAUGUGGGAAGAAAAUACUAAUUCCUCACCAAAGCCCUGCAAUGAUUGCAUGCUGAAAAUGAAGACAUUUGCACCCACUGGAUUAAUGCUGCCAGGGACUUUUUUAUGUGUCAUUAUGACCAACAGGUGGUGGAGGGAGCGAGUCACAGUCCAGUGAGUGAGCCUGUCCCUGGCUAUGCUACUGGUGUUAGCCCUCUCACUGGUCAAAGCUGAAGGAGUUAAGGGGCAGAGGGAUUAGGAAAGAGACCCGGCUGGGGAAGGUGAAACAGGUUUGUAAACACGACUGAAAACAGUUUAGGUUAGAUUUUUUUAAGUAAACAAAGGGAUUUUACGCUACCGAAACAUUACUGUUUAUAACUUCAAAAAGAGCUGCAAGUCAUUUUCACAUGUGAACACACACACACACACACACUUAUUAUAUACAUAUACAUACACAUAUAUGGUAUCUUUCUAAAAAGUAUUCGGAGAGGCAAUAAUUUCUAAAUCAAAGGGAAACGGUAAGAAAAUAGAAGACCAAAGAAGAAUUAAUCCUAAUCAAAGAGGGACAGUCAAUUGUGGACCAGUGCAGCAUCAAGGUCAGGUGGUACCCGGUGUGGACUUUUUUUGUCUCACCCCCCCCCCCAUUGAAAUUGAAAUCUGUCAAAGACAGCCAUGCAGGCGAUCUGGGUGCAGAUCCUGCCUUGCCCCUGCCCUCCCUCCACCCCCCUCUGCCAAAGAGAGCCGGAAGAUCUGGAGGGUGGUGUGAUGGGAUGAUGAGCUGCUUGUGCGUAAAAUCGUAUCCCCUCAGAGUUUGUUCAAGUCCACCAACCUCUGUCUGUGACGGAGCCCCUCAGACAUGGCUCCUCUAGUCACUAGCAGAUUCCGACAGUGGUUGCUUUCGUAAUCGCUUCCAACAUAAAAGCUCCUUAACGGAAACACGUCUUCUGGAAUCUCUGCGUGACAGUUUCCGGCGAGGAGUGGGUGUUCUUACAGGAGGUCCUGAAACCUCUCCACUGUUUUCGCUGGAAGUGUCUCUGAGCCAUCCCUCCAGCUCAGCUCCUCUCCCCCUGCUGGUUCCCUCUUCAGCUGCUGCGUCUCUCCCAACCUGUGUGAGCCCUUUCACCUCCCUGCUGGUUCCCUCUUCAGCUGCUACGUCUCUCCCAACCUGUGUGAGCCCUUUCACCUCCCUUCCGUCCGAUGGCAGUUCCCUGACAUCCACCUCCCUCCAGGGCCCCCUUCACCCCCUCUCGCCCCUCCUCUACGGGCGGUGAGGAGGCAAAACCCUGAAUGAACUUCCUUCAUCUUCCGAUGUCUCGAACACUUCUCUCAACCUGUUGCGGUUCCUGGUCUCGAAGUACACCUCCUCCUCAGAGUCCAUCUCCCCUUCCCCUUCCGAGUCCGGGAAUCCUUCCAACUCCUCCCCUUCAUCAGUGGUCCCAAAGUAUCCCUCCGGAACCUCUCCACAGGCUGAGGUUUCCUUGGGAACCUUUGAUGGAACGUUUCUAUCAAUACCUCGUCAUUGAUAUCUUCGGCCAUUACCCAAGUGUUUUCUGACUCCGGUUCUCCUUCCCACGCUACCAAAUACUCCACCUGAUCCCCCUUCCACCUGGCGUCGAGGAUUUCUGCCACAUGGCUGCUGCAUUCUCUUUCUUCUACGACCGGUCCCCGAGUGGCCAGCCCUUCUCGUCUCCCUUCGUACGGUGACAGUAACGACCUGUGAAAUACUGGGUGCAGUUUCAUGUGGUUGGGUAACCGGAGCCUGAAAGCCACUGGGUUGACCUGUUGAAUGACCUCAAAGGGACCCAACCUCCUGGGUCUUAAUUUCUUACAACCUCCUUUGAACGGCAACCCUUGGGUUGACAGCCACACCCUAUCUCCCACCCUUAUGGUUUCACCUUCCCUUCGGUUCUUGUCUGCCUGCCUCUUGUAUUCUUCCUUCGCCCUUUCUAAGUUGAGUUGGAGCUGACGAUGGAUUGCUUCCAUUUCUUCCACAAAAUGCUCGGCUGCCGGGACGCUCCAUCUCUCCCCAUCUCCCCUGGGAAAGCCCUGGGAUGACACCCAUAAUUAGCCAAGAAGGGGCUCAUCCCUGUGGACACAUUCUCGGCAUUGUUGUAGGCAAAUUCCGCCAGCGCCAACUUUUCUACCCAGUCAUUCUCUCUGUCAUUGACAUAACACCUCAGGUAUUGCUGGAGGACACCGUUUGCUCUUUCCGCCUGCCCGUUGGUUUCAGGGUGCCGGGCAGUCGAAAAAUUGACCUCCACCUGCAGUAAGCUCAUGAGCUUCCUCCAGAACCUGGAAGUAAAUUGUUUUCCUCGGUCUGAGACCACCCUCAAUGGCACCCCGUGCAACCUAAAAAUGUGUUCUACAAAUAACUUCGCUGUCUCUUCCGCCGUGACUGCAUGCGAGCAAGCUACAAAGUGGCACAUCUUUGUUAGUAGGUCUACCACCACCAUGAUGGCUGUUUUCCCUUUGGACUUCGGCAGAUCAGUCAUAAAAUCUAUCGACACUGCCUCCCAAGGUCGUUCUGGGGUUGGUAAGGGUUCUAAUAGCCCCGCCGGCGCCCGCCUUUCCCCUUUGGCUCGCUGGCAUUGCUCGCACCCUCUUACAUACUCACGUACAUCUUCCCUCACCUUAGGCCACCAAAAUUCCCUGGUGACCAACCACAUGGUUUUGUGUUGUCCAAAAUGCCCCGCCGUAGGGCUGUCGUGCAACUGCUUGAGUACCCUCCCCUUAACUCUCCUUCAGGGAUAUACAGUGCCCCUUUGUAAUACAAAGCUCCAUUUCUUUCCUCGAAACCCCUGGUUCCUCUCCCUCACCCCUAAGACCUCUGAGCUUAUUCUGGGCGUAUUCAUCAUUCUCUGUUUCCUCUACCAGUUCUCUUUGUCCCACCAAUGCCGCCCCACACACCCAGCGGUCCUCUGGAAUGACAUGUCUCUCUUCGGGUGCCCCUCCCCUCCAAAUAUUCAGGUUUGCGUGAGAGAGCGUCCGCCCUAAUGUUCUCUGGGCCUGGCACGUAACUAAUCUCAAAGUUAAAUUUGGAGAAUUCCUGGGCCCAUCUCACUUGCCGUUGGUUGAGCACUCGUGCCGUCCUCCAAUACUCUAGGUUCUUGUGGUCAGUGCACACUUGCACCUUAUGUUGUGCGCCAAUUAGCAGGUGCCUCCAUCUCCGGAACGCCUCAUGAAUGGCUAGUAGUUCUCGGUCAUACACCGUGUAGUUCCUCUCGGAUUUGUUCAGCUUUCGCGAAAAAAGGCACACGGUCUCCACUCUGACCCCUUCUUCCCUGGCUGCAGAAGCACCGCCCCAAUCGCUCUGUCUGAUGCGUCAGUUUCCACUCUCAUCGGUUUUUGUAAAUCCACAUGCAGGAGUUGUUGUUCCGAGGCGAAGGCCCUUUUAGUUCCUCAAAUGCUCGCUCCGCCUCCUCAGUCCACACGAACUUCUUCUUACUGCUGAGACAGUCCGUAAUGGGCGCCGUCAGGUGGGCAAAGUUUCGGAUGAACUUACGAUAGAAGUUCCCAAAUCCUAGGAACCUCUGCACAUCCUUCUUUGUUUUGGGUGUUUUCCAUUCCAGCACCGCCUGGACCUUGCCGGGAUCCAUGGCCAAUCCCUUGUCUGACAGGCGAUACCCCAGGAAUUCCACCUCCUUGGUAUGAAACUGACACUUCUCCAGUUUCACCCACAGCUGGUUGGCUUGCAGCCUGCUCAACACUUCUCUGACGUCUCUCACAUGCUGCUCCUCAUUCUCAGAAUACACCAACACGUCGUCUAAAAAGGCCACACAAUUCUUGUAAAGCAAAGGCCCCAGGACGUGGUUCAUAAACGAUUGAAAUGUUGCGGAGCCUGCUUGUAGGCCGAAGGGCAUAACCAAAUAUUCAAAUGCCCCUAAAGGGGUGAACAUAGUGGUUUUCCAUUCAUCCCCCUUCCUUAUUCGUACCAGGUUGUACGCCCCCCUUAGGUCCAGCUUUGUGAAAAUCUUUCCCUUCCGCACCCUUGUCAAAAUGUCGUCAAUCCUGGGCAUCGGGAAGGCUACUGGUUCUGACACUGCAUUUAAGGCCCUGAAGUCACACACCAGCCUCGGCUUGUUCGUGUUUUUCUUAUCCACAAAAAACACUGGGCUGCCCCCCCCACCGCCCUGGACUCUCUGAUGAACCCUCUCUUCAGGUUCUUGUCAAUGAACUCUCUUAACUCCUGCAUCUCUCUGUCUGACAUGGCGUACAGCUUGCCUACAGGGAGCUGUGCUCCAGGGAGUAAAUUGAUUUGACAGUCAAAGGGUCUAUGCGGGGGUAGUUGGUCAGCUUCCUUUCGCUGAAGACGUCACGGAGAUCUGCAUAUUGUCGUGGUACCUUCACGUUCUCUGUGACUUCAGUCCCUGCUAGGGUGGCUUGGACCCCUGCCAAACCCUUUCCCUCUUUGCAGUGUUCUAAGCAAUGUGCUGAACCAAAAGAAACCACUCUCUGAUGCCAGCCCACCAGCGGAUCAUGUAACGCUAGCCAGCUCAUCCCCAAUAUAAUGGGAGCUCCUCCCAAGGUGGCCACAUUAAAAGCUAUCAGUUCGGUGUGCCUUGCUACCUUCAUUAUCAUUGGGACGGUCUGCAAGCUGACUUCUCCACCCAACAGCUCCCUGCCAUCGAUCGUGGUCACCUGCAGGGGGCUGCUUAAAGGAUCGUCUGUAUCUGGUGUUCAGCUGCAAACUCUUUGCUCAUGAAAUUGCAGGAGCUGCCUGAGUCCAACAGCGCCUUUAUCUUUAGAGGGUGUCCGUUUGGCAGCUCUAGCGUCACUUCUAUCACUAGGGCGGGUUUAGGAGGUUCUGGCGUGGGCACUCUCACUGCUCUUUGGCCUGGCUGCUGUGCCCCGACAGUGGCAGCCAGGCGUUGGCUUUACUUGCUCCGGUAUUUCUUCCUCUCUUCCAUCCACAGCUCCUACCAUCCCUUGCCAUUCUUUCCUCUGGGGGCAGACUCUGGCAAAGUGACCUGGCUGUUGGCAGAGAUAGCAUUUCCGGGCGCCUUUUCCCUCCUUUUUUCCCCCCCUCACUGGGCUUUGAAACUGCGCGCGCGCGCGCUGUUCCGAUUUCCAUCGGCUCUGCCGGUGGGAAAGUUGGCUCUGGAAUGUCUGGAAUGCGGAACUCCUUCCAACGUUCCCCUUUCCCUUCCCGCCUCUCCAAUGCUCUCGCCUCCUGGCGCGCUCCUAUGGCCAGCGCUGAUUUGGUCAGCUGGUCCAUAGACUCCGCCCUGGGCGCCCGGGAAAGUUCGUCUUUCACAGCCGAAGAAAGCCCUUCUUCAAAGAGCAUUUGAAUGGGUUCCGCCGAUAAGUCCCACCCCAAUCUGUGAACAAGCAUGGUGAACUCAGUCCAGUACUCACGGACAGAUCGGCUCCCCUGUUUGCAAGCCAUUAACUGUCUGCGCACCACUCCCUUUCAAUAUCGCUGGAAAACAUCAGAUCCAUGGCGCGAAAGAACUUCAUCGUGUCCUUUAGGACGUCACUAUUUGCUGCCAUCAGGGGUCUAACCCAGUCUCUCGCCCCCUUUUCAAGAUGCUCAAUCACGAAAGCCACUCGUGAUUCCUCGUCAGGGAAUUCAUCAAACUGCAGAUUGAGGGCAUAUUGCAUUUCUGUCCGAAAGCCAUGAUAGUUUUUGGGCUCCCCCCCAAACUUCUGCACCAAUCCUGGUACCUUUCUGGCGAGCUGGGUGGCUUUCCCCUUUUGUCUGCAUCCUGAGCCCUCCUCUCCUCAAGCCUCGCCGUCUGCAUCGCUAGCUGGACCUCCAACACCCGGUACCUUUCUUCCAGGCUUGGACCCGCUCCAGCUCCUGCUUCUCCGGUUCCGGCUGGGUUGCUCAUGAUGCCUUCUCCUGCACAAGCUGCUUUCAAAGACUGUCGGAAUGCUGUGAUGGGAUGAUGAGCUGCUUGUGCGUAAAAUCGUAUCCCCUCAGAGUUUGUUCAAGUCCACCAACCUCUGUCUGUGACGGAGCCCCUCAGACAUGGCUCCUCUAGUCACUAGCAGAUUCCGACAGUGGUUGCUUUCGUAAUCGCUUCCAACAUAAAAGCUCCUUAACGGAAACACGUCUUCUGGAAUCUCUGCGUGACAGUUUCCGGCGAGGAGUGGGUGUUCUUACAGGAGGUCCUGAAACCUCUCCACUGUUUUCGCUGGAAGUGUCUCUGAGCCAUCCCUCCAGCUCAGCUCCUCUCCCCUGCUGGUUCCCUCUUCAGCUGCUGCGUCUCUCCCAACCUGUGUGAGCCCUUUCACCUCCCUGCUGGUUCCCUCUUCAGCUGCUACGUCUCUCCCAACCUGUGUGAGCCCUUUCACCUCCCUUCCGUCCGAUGGCAGUUCCCUGACAGGUGGCAAUGUGGGAAUGGACCUUUUCAGUGGUGACUCCUUGUUUGUGGAAUGUUCUGGCACCAUCAGUAUAUAAAAAUCAUUUUUAACCAGGCCUUUGCCUCUCAAUUAUCUUUGGCCUUGAGUGGGUGGAAUGUUUUAAUCCUGCCUUUUAAAAAUAGGAUUUUCCUUUAUUUUUUCUUUCAUGCUGCUUUCAAUGUAUGGGUUUGUAUGUACGUAUGUACAUAAAUUGAAAGUUGCUUUGAAUUACCAUGGUAAAAAAAGACCAAUAAAUUUAAAAUUAUUAUUAUUAUUAUUAUUAUUAUUAUUAUUAUUAUUAUUAUUAUUCACUAUGUCCUUUUGAACAGAAUGCUACAGAGCACACUCAAAUACUGUGCUAAGCUAACUGCCCCAGAACCAUGCACUCCCUCAAACUGGAUUGUAUGAAAAUAAAGUCUGAACAUAACCUCAUAUAGGCCCUGUUCUAAGAGCUGCAUUGACUGCCAGUUCAUUUCUGGCUCCAAUUUCUCGUACUCACUUGAGUGUUUUAAGCCCUAAAUAACUUAGGCCCCACAUAGCUCAAAGACCUCCUCCUUCCCUGCAGAACCUCACAGGUGUUAAGGUCAGCAGAGGGGAAGCUCUUGGGAGUUUCACAGCCCUUGCGAUUUGGGGGUGGGGGUGGCCCAGAAGAUGGUAUUCUCUGUGGAAUCCCCUAAAUUGUGGAAUUCCCUCCUCACAGAUAUGUGUGUGGCUUUGGGCAAAAGAUGGAGAUGUGGGUUUUCAAGGCCCACUCUAUUCCGUUGAUUGUUAACUGUUUUAACUGUUUAAAAUUUUGAAUUUUAAAUUGCAACCCACUCUGGGACCUGUUGGUAAAGGCUGUGUCAUUAAUGACGAUGAGUAUAACAACAGCAAUGUGAAAUAGUAGAAAUUGCUUUAGGAAUGUGCUUUUUUGGGUCACUAACGCUAGUAAUUAAGAGGAAAGGAGAGCAAAAUGUUCAAGUUCAGAGGUCAUCAUGAUUUCCAGCACUUAUUCAGCCCUGAUACCUAUAGUUGUUGGGCUAUUGGGGGGGGGGAGAAGGCGGGAGGUAGUUUAUUCCCAUGAAAGUAGACCUGUUUCAAGAGUUAAACAACAAACUGCUGACAUAUUUUUUUUCAUUUCCACCAUACUUUUCUGCCAGAAAGGCUCUCAAAGCAGUUUACAACAAAAACGCAAUCCAUACAAACAGUGGAUUAUUUUGAUUAAGCUGGUUAUUUGGAUAUUGUGUUCUUAGAACCAAUUCCUUGUUGGUGGCCAAGCUCCCCUCCUGCAAUUUCCAGCAUCUGACCUUCAGAAGAAGAAUACCAAGAAGUAGCACUCCUGGAAGGGUGACUAAUAAUAAUAAUAAUAAUAAUAAUAAUAAUAAUAAUUUUUAUUUAUAUCCCGCCCUCCCCAGCCGAAUCCGGGCUCAGGGCGGCUAACAACAAUCAAAUAAUCCAACAUUCUAAAAACAUUUCAUUAUAAAAAUUAAAAUCAAAUUGAUGGCAACCGUUAAGCAAAAUUCUGUGCAGAUUGCCAGAGGAGGGAGUCAGGCUGCGCCCUGACCAAAGGCCUGGUGGAACAGCUCUGUCUUGCAGGCCCUGCGGAAAGAUGUCAGGUCCCGCAGGGCCCUAGUCUCUUGUGACAGAGCGUUCCACCAGAUUGGAGCCGCAGCUGAGAAAGCCCUGGCUCUAGUUGAGGCCAGCCUAACCUCUCUGUGGCCUGGGACCUUCAGGAUGUUUUUAUUUGCAGACCGUCUCUGUGGGGCAUACCAGGAGAGGCGGUCCCGUAGGUACGAGGGUCCUAGGCCAUAUAGGGCUUUAAAGGUUAAAACCAGCACCUUAAACCUGAUCCUGUACUCCACUGGGAGCCAGUGCAGCUGGUAAAGCACUGGAUGAAUGUGAUCCCACGACAAGGACCCCGUAAGGAGUCUCGCCACGGCAUUCUGCACCUGCUGGAGUUUCUGGGUCAGUCUCAAGGGCAGCCCCACGUAGAGCAAGUUACAAUAAUCCAGUCUGGAGGUGACCGUCGCGUGGAUCACAGUGGCUAGGCCAGGACGAGAGAGAUAAGGAGCCAACUGCUUAGCUUGGCGGAGAUGAAAAAAUGCCGCCUUUGUUAUAGCUGUAAUCUGUGCCUCCAUAGAGAGGGAGGUAUCGAAGAUUAUACCCAAACUCUUACCGGACGGUGCUGGCACGAAUUGCACCCCCGAAAGAGAUGGGAGUUGUCCCCUCAAUCCCAUAUCGUCCAGUCCCAGCUAGAGGACCUCUGUCUUCGAAGGAUUUAACUUCAACCGGCUCCCACGUAACCAUCCAGCCACAGCUUCCAGACAUCUGGUCAGUGUGUCUGGGGCCGAGUCAGGAUGGCCAUUCAUCAACAGAUAAAGUUGGGUGUCAUCGGCACACUGAUGGCAACCCAGCCCAAAACUCCGGACAAGCUGGGCGAGGGGGCGCAUAAAGAUGUUAAAAAGCAUCGGGGAGAGUAUCGCACCCUGAGGCACUCCAGACACCAAGGAGUGGCGCGAUGACAAUUCCCCCCCAGGCGCCACCCUCUGUCCCCUAAAUAAGAGUGCAAAGUUCUAUGAAACAAUUUGGUAUUCUUUCUUACAUUCUCUCUUUCUUUCUUUUUUUUAAAAAGCACUCUUUGGGUCAGACAUAUUUUAUCAAAUAAAAACAAAGGAGCAAAAUUUUAGGGGAGUUAAACAGGCUUGACAUCCACUUGGUUGGGAAGUUGUUUUGGUCUCUUUCUCCCUACCCCACCCCUCCAUUCAUCCUAUUAGUGACUGGAUUAACUUUAAAGUAUUCCAUUCUAGAUUAAAAAUGUGCUCGUUCAUUCAAACAUCCUUAAGAAUAAUACUUGUUAGUUUCUGCUUGGCAUUCCUACUUAUGCUACUGAGUAAGAUUUACUAAAAUCCAGUUAACAAUUAUAUAGUUAAAACAAUAGGCAUCUAUGAUGAAAUAUUACGUUCCCCCCCCCAUACCCACAUUGCAGGAGGCUGGACUAGAUGACCUUCAGGAUUCCUCCCAACUCUACCAUUCUAUGAUUCUAUAGGAUGAAAUACUAUCCUACAUAUGCUUGUUUGAGUUUAUUUAUUUUAUCAAAUUUAUAGAAUGCUUGAUGGUAAAAACUGCCAAAGUGGUUUACAAGAGAUAAGCCAGUAAAAGCAAGCAAAAAUUACAGUUGUACUUUAAAACACACAAAAGUUAAAAUAAUAAAACAGAUUAAAAUGAACGCAACUUUAUAGGCAUCUGGGUAGGUUUGUCUAAAUAGGAAUGUUUUUUAACAGGUUCAGAAAAGAGAACUGUGAAUGUGUGUGUGCGCGCUUAUACAGAUGUGUGCCUUUCUCAAACUCGAAACCCCAGAUGUUGCACUACAACUCCCAUCGUCCCUAGCUACUAGGACCAGGGGUCAGGGAUGAUGGGAGUUGUAGCUCAACAACACCUAAAGGCUGAAGUGUGGGGCUGGUGUGUACACCCACCCACACCCACACACCCCAGG